UACAGGGGGCUCGAGCGUUAUUCGGAAUCACUGGGCUUAAAGGGUGCGUAGGCGGCUCGCCAAGUGCUUUGUGAAAUCCCACAGCUCAACUGUGGAACAGCAGGGCAAACUGGCGAGCUUGAGGCAGGUAGGGGCCGGAAGAACAGUUGGUGGAGCGGUGAAAUGCGUAGAUAUCAACUGGAAUGCCGAUGGGGAAGCCGUCCGGCUGGGCCUGUCCUGACGCUGAGGCACGAAAGCGUGGGGAGCAAACAGG
This 253-nucleotide ribosomal RNA is filed under the name uncultured bacterium. RNAcentral describes it as "partial 16S ribosomal RNA". It matches the Rfam family "Bacterial small subunit ribosomal RNA", at positions 524 to 776 of the family's 1533-position model. The record is from RNAcentral.